UCGGAUUGUAGGCUGAAACUCGCCUACAUGAAGCUGGAGUUGCUAGUAAUCGCGAAUCAGCAUGUCGCGGUGAAUACGUUCCCGGGCCUUGUACACACCGCCCGUCACACCAUGAGAGUUGGCAAUACCCAACGUACGUGAUCUAACCCGCAAGGGAGGAAGCGUCCUAAGGUAGGGUCAGCGAUUGGGGUGAAGUCGUAACAAGGUAGC
RNAcentral lists this ribosomal RNA (210 nucleotides) under uncultured bacterium. RNAcentral's name for it is "partial 16S ribosomal RNA". It matches the Rfam family "Bacterial small subunit ribosomal RNA", at positions 1293 to 1500 of the family's 1533-position model. The record is from RNAcentral.